This 471-nucleotide ribosomal RNA is filed under the name uncultured Sporacetigenium sp. RNAcentral describes it as "bacterial SSU rRNA". It matches the Rfam family "Bacterial small subunit ribosomal RNA", at positions 8 to 507 of the family's 1533-position model. The record is from RNAcentral. Lineage: Bacteria; Bacillati; Bacillota; Clostridia; Peptostreptococcales; Tepidibacteraceae.
AGAGUUUGAUCCUGGCUCAGGAUGAACGCUGGCGGCGUGCCUAACACAUGCAAGUCGAGCGAUUUACUUCGGUAAGAGCGGCGGACGGGUGAGUAACGCGUGGGUAACCUGCCCUGUACACACGGAUAACAUACCGAAAGGUAUGCUAAUACGAGAUAAAAUACUUUUAUCGCAUGGUAGAAGUAUCAAAGCUUUUGCGGUACAGGAUGGACCCGCGUCUGAUUAGCUAGUUGGUAGGGUAACGGCUUACCAAGGCGACGAUCAGUAGCCGACCUGAGAGGGUGAUCGGCCACAUUGGAACUGAGACACGGUCCAAACUCCUACGGGAGGCAGCAGUGAGGAAUAUUGCACAAUGGGCGAAAGCCUGAUGCAGCAACGCCGCGUGAGCGAUGAAGGCCUUCGGGUCGUAAAGCUCUGUCCUCAAGGAAGAUAAUGACGGUACUUGAGGAGGAAGCCCCGGCUAACUACGUG